RNAcentral lists this ribosomal RNA (255 nucleotides) under uncultured bacterium. Its description in RNAcentral is "partial 16S ribosomal RNA". It matches the Rfam family "Bacterial small subunit ribosomal RNA", at positions 524 to 776 of the family's 1533-position model. The record is from RNAcentral.
UACGGUAGGUGGCAAGCGUUGUCCGGAAUUAUUGGGCGUAAAGAGCGUGUAGGCGGCUUUACAGGUCCGUUGUGAAAACUCGAGGCUCAACCUCGAGACGCCGGUGGAAACCGUAAGGCUAGGAGUCCGGAAGAGGAGAGUGGAAUUCCUGGUGUAGCGGUGAAAUGCGCAGAUAUCAGGAGGAACACCCGUGGCGAAAGCGGCUCUCUGGGACGGUACUGACGCUGAGACGCGAAAGCGUGGGGAGCAAACAGG